CCGCUCCCUACCAACGAGCCGCCGGAUCUCCCCGUGAGGAGGCCGGGGCCAUCGGAUCCAGUGACCUCGUUCUCCUUGCCGGCGGAUCCGGCAGCCCAGAGAAAGGAACGA
Molecule: non-coding RNA, 111 nt
Organism: Oryza barthii
Lineage: Eukaryota; Viridiplantae; Streptophyta; Magnoliopsida; Poales; Poaceae
Source: Rfam